Molecule: ribosomal RNA, 783 nt
Filed under: uncultured bacterium
Lineage: Bacteria
Description: bacterial SSU rRNA
Rfam family: Bacterial small subunit ribosomal RNA
Source: RNAcentral
CAACUGCGAAGGCAGCUUUCUGGAUCAUUACUGACACUGAGGAACGAAAGCAUGGGUAGCGAAGAGGAUUAGAUACCCUCGUAGUCCAUGCCGUAAACGAUGUGUGUUAGACGUUGGAAAUUUAUUUUCAGUGUCGCAGGGAAACCGAUAAACACACCGCCUGGGGAGUACGACCGCAAGGUUAAAACUCAAAUGAAUUGACGGGGACCCGCACAAGUAGUGGAGCAUGUGGUUUAAUUCGAAGAUACGCGCAGAACCUUACCAACACUUGACAUGUUCGUCGCGACUCUAAGAGAUUAGAGUUUUCGGUUCGGCCGGACGAAACACAGGUGCUGCAUGGCUGUCGUCAGCUCGUGUCGUGAGAUGUUGGGUUAAGUCCCGCAACGAGCGCAACCCUCACUUUUAGUUGCCAUCAUUAAGUUGGGCACUCUGAAAGAACUGCCAGUGAUAAGCUGGAGGAAGGUGGGGAUGACGUCAAGUCCUCAUGGCCCUUACGUGUUGGGCUACACACGUGCUACAAUGGCAUCUACAACAGGAAGCAAAACGGCAACGUUAAGCAAAUCCCGAAAAGAUGCCUCAGUUCGGAUUGCACUCUGCAACUCGAGUGCAUGAAGCUGGAAUUACUAGUAAUCGUGGAUCAGCGUGCCACGGUGAAUGCGUUCCCGGGUCUUGUACACACCGCCCGUCACACCAUGGGAGUUGGUUCUACCUUAAGGCAAGGUUUCAAACCCUUGACCACGGUAUAGUCAGCGACUGGGGUGAAGUCGUAACAAGGUAGCCGUA